CACACAUAUAUUCAUGAAAACAUAAUAGGUUCAGAUCUGAAAUCAUGGCACUCGGGCCCUAGUGACAAGCAUUAAGCAUAGCAAAGUCGUAGCAACAUCAAUCUCAGAACAUAGUGGAUACUAGGGAUCAAACCCUAACAAAACUAACUUGAUUACAUGGUAAAUCUCAUCCAACCCAUCACCGUCCAGCAAGCCUAUGAUGGAAUUACUCACGCACGGUGGUGAGCAUCAUGAAAUUGGUGAUGGAGGAUGGUUGAUGAUGAUGACGGCGACGAAUCCCCCUCUCCGGAGCCCCGAACGGACUCCAAAUCAGCCCUCCCGAGAGAGAUUAGGGCUUGGCAACGGCUCCGUACCGUAAAACGCGAUGAAACUUUCUCUCUGAUUUUUUCUCCAUGAGACAAAAUAUAUGGAGUUAGAGUUGAAGUCGGUGGAGCCUCAGGGGGCCCACGAGACAGGGGGGCGCGCCCAGGGGGGUGGGCGCCCCCCUACCCUCAUGGACAGGGUGUGGGCCCCCUGGUCUUGAUUCUUUCGCCAGUAUUUUUUAUAUUUUCCCAAAAGUGCCUCCGUGGAUUUUCAGGACAUUCCGAGAAAUUUUGUUUUCUACACAUAAAACAACAUCAUGGCAAUUCUGCUGAAAACAGUGUCAAUCCGGGUUAGUUUCAUUCAAAUCAUGCAAGUUAGAGUCCAAAACAAGUGCAAAAGUGUUUGGAAAAGUAGAUAUGUUGGAGACGUAUCAACUCCCCCAAGCUUAAACCUUUGCUUGUCCUCAAGCAAUUCAGUUGAUAAACUGAAAGUGGUAAAGAAAUUUUUUUACAAACUCUGUUUGCUCUUGUUGUUGUAAACAUGCAAAGCCAGCAUUCAGGUUUUAGCAAAUAUUAUGAACUAACCAUACUCACAAUAACACUUAGGUCUCACAAUUACUCAUAUCAAUAGCAUAAUCAGCUAGCGAGCCAUAAUAAUAAAACUCGGAUGACAACACUUUCUCAAAAUAAUCAUAACAUGAUAUAAAAAGAUGGUAUCUCGCUAGACCUUUCUGAGACCGCAAAACAUAAAUGCAGAGCACCUUUAAAGAUCAAGGACUGACUAAACAUUGUAAUUCAUGGUAAAAGAGAUCUAGUCAAGUCAUACCCGAUAUAAACCAAUAGUAAUGAAUGCAAAUGACAGUGUGCUCUCCAGCGGGUGCUUUUUAAUAAGAGGGAUGAUGACUCAACAUAAAAGUAAAUAGAUAGGCCCUUCGCAGAGGGAAGCAAGAUUUUGAGCGGCAUACUUUCGCUGUCAAUGGAACAACUAUGAGAUGGUUGUAUCUUCCAUACUACAUGCAUUAUAGGCAGUUCCCAAACAGAAUGGUAAAAGUUUAUACUCCCCCAACCACCAACAAACAUCAAUUCAUGGCUUGCUCGAAACAACGAGUGCCUCCAAGUAGCAACAGCCCUGGGGGAGUUUUGUAUAAUUAUAUUGAUUUUCUUUGAUCUUUUUGGAUCAUGGGACUAGGCAUCCCGGUUACCGACCCUUUCUCGUGAAUAAGAAGCGGAGUCCACUCCUCUUGAGAAUAACCCACCUAGCAUGGAAGAUAUAGGCAGCCCUAGUUGUAACAUGAGCUGCUCGAGCAUACAAAACAGAAUUUCAUUUGAAGGUUUGGAGUUUGGCACAUACAAAUUUACUUGGAACGGCAGAUAGAUACCACAUAUAGGUAGGUAUGGUGGACUCAUAUGGAACAACUUUGGGGUUUAAGGAGUUUGGAUGCACAAGCAGUAUUCCCGCUUAGUACAGGUGAAGGCUAGCAAAAGACUGGGAAGCGACCAACUGAGAGAGCAACAACAGUCAUAAACAUGCAUUAAAAUUAAUUCACACCGAAUACAAGCAUGAGUAGGAUAUAAUCCACCAUGAACAUAAAUAUCAUGAAGGCUAUGUUGAUUUGUUUCAACUACAUGCGUGAACAUGUGCCAAGUCGAGUCACUCAAUUCAUUCAAAGGAGGAUACCAUCCCAUCAUACCACAUCAUAAUCAUUCUAAUAGCAUGUUGGCACGCAAGGUAAACCAUUAUAACUCAUAGCUAAUCAAGCAUGGCACAAGCAACUAUAAUCUCUAAAUGUCAUUGCAAAUAUGUUUACCUCAUAAUAAGCUGAAUCAGGAACGAUGAACUCAUCAUAUUUACAAAAGCAAGAGAGGUCGAGUUCAUACCAGCUUUUCUCAUCUCAAUCAGUCCAUCAUAUAUCGUCAUUAUUGCCUUUCACUUGCACGAUCGAACAAUGUGUAUAAUAAUAAUAGUGCACGUGCAUUGGACUAAGCUGGAAUCUGCAAGCAUUCAACUCAAGAUAGAAGACAGGGUAAUAUGGGCUCUAAAUUAAAUAAGCAAUCAUGCAUAUGAGAGCCACUAAACAUUUUAAUCAUGGUCUUCUACUCUCGACCCCCAAGGAAAAGAAAAUAAAACUAUUUACACGGGAAAGCUCCCAACAAGUAAAAGAAGAACGAGAAAUCUUUUUGGGUUUUCAUUUUAGUUCUACUACAAGCAUGGAAAUUAAACUAACUAUUUUUUUUGUUUUUUCUUAAGGUUUAUCAAACACACAAGAAGAAAGCGAGAAAAAGGAAAUGAAACUAGAAUGGAUAAUACAAUGAAAGAGUAUGAGCACCGACGACUAGUGUGUGAACAUGAAUGUAAAGUCGGUGAGAAAUACGUACUCCCCCAAGCUUAGGCUUUUGGCCUAAGUUGGUCUAAUACCAAAGACCGCUUGGCUGAUAUCCAUAGUUGUAACUGGGGUCGUACUGAGAUGCAGCAGCAAUUGCCUCCUGAGCUGCGGCAUGUUGGUGAGCCGCCUCCGCUCUCCCCUCAUGUUCAGCUGCUUCCUCCCUGGUAACCACAUAUCUUCCUUUUGCCUGAUAAUCAAAAAGGAGAGGAGCAGGAAGAGUAACAUGGACGACGUUGCGUCUGUCAUAGAUUAGUCAAUAUUGGAGGAAUUGUUCAUUCCUCCUAAGAAAAUGAUGGUUGACCAUAGUGUCUUAAUCUAAAUAAGCAGGAGGUAACAUCAUAUCCCCCUCUCGUGGGGCUAUACCAAGAUAAUUAGCCACACGGGUUGCAUAAAUUCCUCCAAAUAAAUCUCCAGCUCUACCAUUAUUAUGCAACCUACGUGCAACUAUUGCCCCCAAGUUAUAAACUUUAUAACCUAACACAACACUCUUGAGGACACAAAGAUCAGGGACACACAUAUGGCAUGCUUCGUCUUUACUAUUAAUGCAUUUACCAAUGAAGAGAGCAAAAUAAUGUAUAGCAGGAAAAUGAAUGCUCCCUAUGGUAGCUUGUGCAAUAUCCCUGGAUUCUCCCACAGUAAUACUAGCAAGGAAAUCUCUAAAUUCAGAUUUGUGGGGAUCAUUAAUAUUACCCCACUGCGGAAGUUUGCAAGCAGUUGUAAAAUCCUAUGAGUCCAUGGUAUAAGAUGUAUCAUAAAUAUCAAAUAGGACACUAGGAGAAUUACACGUACAGUUAUAUUUAAACCUCCGCACAAAGGAAUCAGUCAAUUGAUAGUACCGAGGACACUUAUCUUGUAAGAAGUCCUCCAGAUCAGCAUUACACACAUACGCGUCAAAUUCCUCCUUAAAACUUGCUUCCACCAUAAAAUCAUCGGAUGUCCACUCACAGGCUCGUACAUCUGCAUCCCUGGGUAAUUCAACGUCUUGCUCACGUAUAGCAAUCCUGGGCCCUUUCUUCACCGAGGAACCACCUUGGUACAUUCUCCUAGACAUAAUUCUUUUUCUGAAAAAUUUCUGAAAUUUUAGUAACUUCAAAAUAAAAGUGAACAAAACUAAACAAGAAUGAUAGCAACUACUCCUACAAGUGCCUAGAGCCUAUAUCAUGCAUUAGAAUUGCUUGGGACCUCACAAAUUUAACAUGCAAGCUCAAGAACAUGGUCACCUAUGCAGCAAAAAUUUGCAAUGAAUAAAACACUAGAACAAAAAUUAAUUGGACCAAUGGAGGAGUCACAUACCAAGCAACAAUCUCCCAAAGCAGUUUUGUGAAUGGAGCUUUGAGCAAGGAGAUCGAAAAUCGCAGCAAAAUGAGCUAGAACUCGUGCUUGAGCUGGAUGGGGAUUUUUUGGGAAGAAGAUGGAGUGUGUGGGUGCUGGCAUAAGUGGAGGGGGGCCACCAGGGGCCCAUGAGACAGGGGGCGCGCCCAGGGUAGGUGGGCGCGCCCUCCACUCUCGUGGCCUGGUGCUUGCCCCUCCUGCAGUGAUUUCAGUGCCUAAAAUCCUAAAAUAUUCCAUAAAAAAUCAUACUAAAUUUGCAGGGCAUUUGGAGCACUUUUAUUUUUGAGAUAUUUUUAAUGCAUGGAUAAUUCAGAAAAUAGACGGAUAAUACUAUUUUUGCUUUAUUUAUUCUAAAUAACAAAAAGUAAAAAGAGGGUACAGAAGGUUGUGCCUUCUAGUUUCAUCCAUCUCAUGAUCAUCAAAAUGAAUCCACUAACAAGGUUGAUCAAGUCUUGUUAACAAACUCAUUCCGAAUAACAUGGAACCGGAGACAUUUCAAAUAACACUAGGUUACCUCAACGGGGAUAUGAACAUCCCCAAUAAUAAGAAUAUCAUACUUUUUCUUGACAGUAGGGAGAGGAAAUUCAAAACCUCCAAUAAUGAUAGUUGGAACUUUUCCAAUAGAAUUGAUGCUAUGAACUUGAGAUUGUUUCCUCGGAAAGUGUACCGCAUGCUCAUUACCGUUAACAUGAAAAGUGACAUUGCCUUUGUUGCAAUCAAUAAUAGAACCUGCAGUAUUCAAAAAGGGUCUACCAAGGAUAAUUGACAUACUAUCGUCCUCGGGAAUAUCAACAAAAACAAAGUCCGUUAAGAUAGUGACAUUUGCAACCACAACAGGCACAUCCUCACAAAUACCGACAGGUAUAGCAGUUGAUUUAUCAGCCAUUUGCAAAGAUAUUUCAGUAGGUGUCAACUUAUUCAAUUCAAGUCUAUGAUAUAAAGAGAGAGGCAUAACACUAACACCGGCUCCAAGAUCACAUAAAGCAGUUCUAACAUAAUUUCUUUAAAUGGAGCAUGGUAUAGUUGAUACACCCGGAUCUCCAAGUUUCUUUGUAUUCCACCUUUAAAAGUGUAAUUAGCAAGCAUGGUGGAAAUUUCAGCUUCCGGUAUCUUUCUUUUGUUUGUAAUGAUAUCCUUCGUAUACUUAGCAUAAGGAUUUACUUUAAGCAUAUCAGUUAAGCGCAUACGUAAGAAGAUAGGUCUAAUCAUUUCAGCAAAGCGCUCAAAAUCCUCAUCGUCCUUUGUCUUGGAUGGUUUAGGAGGAAAGGGCAUGGGUUUCUGAACCCAUGGUUCUCUUUCUCUACUGUCUUUCUUAGAAAAAAAUCUCUCUUAUCAUAACGUUGAUUCUUUGAUUGUGGGUUAUCAAGAUCAACAGCGGGUUCAAUCUCUACUUCAUUAUUUUUGAUAGGUUGAGUAUCAACAUGAACAUUAUCAUUAACAUUAUCACUAGGUUCAUGUUCAUCACAUGAUUGUGUUUCAGCAUCAGAAACAGAAAUAUCAUUGGGAUUCUUAGGUGUGUCUACAGUAGGUUCACUAGAAGCAUGCAAAGUCCUAUCGUUUUCCUUUUUCUUCUUUUUGGAAGAACUAGGUGCCUCUAAAUUAUUUCUCUGAGAAUCUUGCUCGAUUCUCUUAGGGUGGCCUUCAGGAUACAAAGGUUCCUGAGUCAUUCUACCAGUUCUAGUAGCCACUCUAACAGCAAAGUCAUUUUUAUUAUUUAAUUCAUCAAGCAAAUCAUCUUGAGCUUUGAGCACUUGCUCAGCUUGAGUAGCAACCAUAGAAGCAUAUUUGCUAAUGAGUUUGAGUUCACCUUUAACUCUAGCCAUAUUAUCGCUCACGCGUCCUAUCUCGAAAGCAUUAUUCUUUAACUCUCUACCAACAUAAGCAUUAAAACUUUCUUGUCUACACAUAAAGUCAUCAAAUUCAUCUAAGCAUGGGCUAUGAAAUUUAGUAGAGGGGAUUUCAACUUUAUCAUAUCUAUAGAGAGAAUUUACCUUUACUACCUGUGUCGGGUUAUCAAGACAAUGUGGUUCUUCAACAUGCGGUAUAUUAAGACCAUGUAUUUCUUCAAUAGGAGGUAAAUUCUUAACAUCUUCGGCUUUAAUACCUUUUUCUUUCAUUGAUUUCUUUGCCUCUUGCAUAUCUUCAGGACUGAGAAAUAAAACACCUCUCUUCUUCGGAGUGGGUUUAGGAAUAGGCUUAGGAGUUGGCUCAAUUGGUUCAGGAAUUUCAGGAAUUGACUCAGGAAGAGUCCAAUUAUUUUCAUUAAUCAAUAUAUUAUUCAAUAGUAAUUAAGCUUCGUCGACUGUUCUUUCCCUAAAAACACAACCAACACAACUAUCCAAGUAGUCCUUGGAAGCAUCGGUUAGUCCAUUAUAAAAGAUAUCAAGUAUUUCAUUUUUCUUGAGAGGAUGAUCAGGCAAAGCAUUAAGUAAUCGGAUAAGCCUCCCCCAAGCUUGUGGGAGACUCUCUUCUUUGAUUUGCACAAAAUUAUAUAUUUCCUGCAAGGCAGCUUGUUUCUUAUGAGCAGGGAGAUAUUUAGCAGAGAAGUAAUAAAUCAUAUCCUGGGGACUACGCACACAACUAGGAGCAAGAGAAUUAUACCAAGUCUUAGCAUCACCCUUUAACAAGAACGGAAAUAUCUUGAGGAUAUAAUAAUAGCGAGAUUUAUCAUCAUAAGUAAACAGGGUGGCUAUAUCAUUCAACUUGGUAAGAUGUGCCACAACAGCUUCAGAUUCAAGGCCAUAAAAAGGAUUAGAUUCAACCAAAGUAAUAAUCUCAGGAUCAACAGAGAAUUCAUAAUCCUUAUCAGUAACACAAAUAGGUGAAGUAGCAAAAGCAGGGUCAGGUUUCAUUCUAGCAUUAAGAGACUGCUGCUUCCAUUUAGCUAAUAAUUUUUAAGAUCAUAUCUAUCUUUACACGCAAAGAUAGCUCUAGCAGCUUCCUCUUCCAUAACAUAACCCUUAGGAACAACAGGCAAUUCAUAAUCAUUAGGAGAACCUUCAUCAUCACUAUCAUCAAUAAUAGCAUCUUCCAUAAUUUCGUUCUCUCUAGCCCUAGCAAGUUGUUCAUCAAGAAAUUCACCUAAUGGCAAAGUAGUAUCACGCACAGAAGUAGUUUCAUCAUAAGUAUCAUGCAUAGCAGAAGUGGCAUCAUCAAUAACAUGCGACAUAUCAGAAUUCUUAGCAGUGGCAGGUUUAGGUGUCGCAAGAUUACUAAUAACAGAAGGAGAAUCUAGUGCAGAGCUAGAUGGUAGUUCCUUACCUCCCCUCGUAGUUGAGGGAAAAAUUGUAGUUUUCGCGUCUUUCAAGUUCUUCAUAGUGAUCAACAGAUAUAAAUCCCAAGUGACUCAGAGAAUAGAGCUAUGCUCCCCAGCAACGGCGCCAGAAAUUAGUCUUGAUAACCUACAAGUGUAGGGGAUCGCAACAGCUUUCGAGGGUAAAGUAUUCAACCCAAAUUUAUUGAUUCGACACAAGGGGAGCCAAAGAAUAUUCUUGAGUAUUAGCAGUUGAGUUAUCAAUUCAACCACACCUGGAUAACUUAGUAUCUGCAGCAAAGUAUUUAGUAGCAAAGUAGUAUGAUAAUAAAGGUAACGGUAGCAAAAGUAAUAUUUUUGAGUUUUGUAGUGAUUGUAACAAUAGCAGCGGAAAAGUAAAUAAGCGAAACACAAGAUGUGAAAAUCUCGUAGGCAUUGGAUCAGUGAUGGAUAAUUAUGUCGGAUGCGAUUCCUCAUGUAAUAGUUAUAACAUAGGGUGACACAGAACUAGCUCCAAUUCAUCAAUGUAAUGUAGGCAUGUAUUCCGAAUAUAGUCAUACGUGCUUAUGGAAAAGAACUUGCAUGACAUCUUUUGUCCUACCCUCCCGUGGCAGCGGGGUCCUAGCGGAAACUAAGGGAUAUUAAGGCCUCCUUUUAAUAGAGAACCGGAACAAAGCAUUAGCACAUAGUGAAUACAUGAACUCCUCAAACUAUGGUCAUCACCGAGAAGUAUCCCGAUUAUUGUCACUUCGGGGUUGUCGGAUCAUAACACAUAAUAGGUGACUAUAGACUUGCAACAUAGGAUCAAGAACACACAUAUAUUCAUGAAAACAUAAUAGGUUCAGAUCUGAAAUCAUGGCACUCGGGCCGCCCUAGUGACAAGCAUUAAGCAGAGCAAAGUCAUAGCAACAUCAAUCUCAGAACAUAGUGGAUACUAGGGAUCAAACCCUAACAAAACUAACUUGAUUACAUGGUAAAUCUCAUCCAACCCAUCACCGUCCAACAAGCUGACGAUGGAAUUACUCACGCACGGUGGUGAGCAUCAUAAAAUUGGUGAUGCAGGAUGGUUGAUGAUGACGACAGCGACGAAU
This 8362-nucleotide long non-coding RNA is filed under the name Triticum aestivum (bread wheat). Its description in RNAcentral is "long non-coding RNA (TAES_LNC022567)". Lineage: Eukaryota; Viridiplantae; Streptophyta; Magnoliopsida; Poales; Poaceae. The record is from RNAcentral.